GAUGAACGCUGGCGGCGUGCCUAAUACAUGCAGGUAGAACGCUGAAGGAGGAGCUUGCUCUUCUGGAUGAGUUGCGAACGGGUGAGUAACGCGUAGGUAACCUGCCUGGUAGCGGGGGAUAACUAUUGGAAACGAUAGCUAAUACCGCAUGACAACAGUUAUUGCAUGAUAACUGUUUAAAAGGGGCAACUGCUCCACUACCAGAUGGACCUGCGUUGUAUUAGCUAGUUGGUGAGGUAACGGCUCACCAAGGCGACGAUACAUAGCCGACCUGAGAGGGUGAUCGGCCACACUGGGACGGGGACACGGCCCAGACUCCUGCGGGAGGCAGCAGUAGGGAAUCUUCGGCAAUGGACGGAAGUCUGACCGAGCGACGCCGCGUGAGUGAAGAAGGUUUUCGGAUCGUAAAGCUCUGUUGUAAGAGAAGAACGAGUGUGAGAGUGGAAAGUUCACACUGUGACGGUAUCUGACCAGAAAGGGACGGCUAACUACGUG
RNAcentral lists this ribosomal RNA (495 nucleotides) under uncultured bacterium. Its description in RNAcentral is "partial 16S ribosomal RNA". It matches the Rfam family "Bacterial small subunit ribosomal RNA", at positions 28 to 507 of the family's 1533-position model. The record is from RNAcentral.